UGGCCGAGGCCCCUUCCGCCCACUGGAGAGCUGACAGUCCCCCUUUCCAAACAACACAGCUACAUAAUGGCACUGAUUUUUCUUUCACUUUAUCAUGUAUAAAGCCAUACGAUGGAUCGCAAAGAAACGAAGCAGCUGUACAGGAGCGGGACAGCCUCAGUGUACAAUACAUUCAUAUCCAGUAAGUAGCAUACAUUAGGGUUUAUACAAGGUGGCAGAGUUCUAGGCACGAUGAUAACAAAAUAGAAAGUAUAUUUCCAUCUGUAUAAAUACACAGCCAGAGGUUGGGGAGGAUGCUAGGUUAUUCUGUUUCUCCUGCCGAGGGCCUGGAGGACAGAGGAGUGCCACCUGGUGUGGCCCAUCCCCGCCAUCCAUCGCCAGCGCUGAGAUUCUCCCCCAACCGGGGCCCUAGAGGCCUCGCCUCCGGAUUCCUUUCUCUACUGGGUGCUAGUGAACUUGACAUCCAUCACCCACCACCUCUGACCCAACUCCCAAAUUCCCUAAAGAGACGAGCCAAAUACGCACACACACCCACACUUGCACACGCGCACGCACACGUCCUGUGUUACCACUGGCAGGGGGACUCCAGUCUCAGGAUUUCAGGGCCUGGGCCUGGGUGAAGUGUGGCCCCAGGACUGCCCCCAGCCCCUCCAAGGAUCCCGAAGAUGGGAGAUGUUGGGACUGGAGCAGCCCUUAGAAAGGGCAGUGACCCACCCCCCACCCCUGCCCCUUGAUCAUCCCGAUCCUGAAGCUGGGAAAAACCAAAGAAGGGGAGAAGACCCAGGAGACAGGGGUGGUGGAUGAACCUCAGUGAGGAGGAGAAAGUGGGGCACAGAUACUGUUUUGGUGACAGAUGCAUCCACAGCCCCAGCCUCUGCCCGGCCCAUCCAAGUGGGACAGAAGAAUGCCCAGUUCCUCUCCCUCCCUCCUGAGAGCCUUUACAAAGGCUCCCUCUUAUAGUCACUCAGCCACCAGACACCAUCCCCAUCCUGCCUGUCUCUGAUACACCCAGGGAUCCCCCAAAACCCUGCCAGGGGAGAGGGACCCUUGUAGUCCUCAAGUAUUUGGAGCUGCUACAGGAGAAGCUCCAAUGAGCAUCAGGAUCAAAGGGCCUUUCCCCAACCUGGGACAAUCACCUGUCCCCAGAUCACCUGGCUGGACGGCUGAAUGAGGGAGCCAGGAUACUGUGGGGCCAGGGCAGUCCACUCCCCCCGGAGCUUGCUCAUCCAGCUCCCCUCCUCCUCAUCUCCCCUCCAGGUCACGUCUCCGUCAUUCCCAUGCCUUCCCCUCCCCUCUGGCUCCAGCCGGGAAGGGCCACAUGGACCCUGCUAGUCCUCUCUCCCUGCUGAUGUCACUGCCUUCCCUGCAGACACCAUACUCAGAGGCCUGGCUGCACGGCAAGAGGCAGGCUGGGCCUGGCGUUGGGGCCUGAGCCUGCCUGAGGUCUGCCUCGCUGCGGCACAAGCCGGCCGGGGCCUCUCUCCUCUCUGGCUCUUUCCUGCCAGCAACUCCCAGGCCCUCUUCCAAUCUCCCAUCCCCAGCCCGUUUUCAAGACUAGAAGGCACUCUCCUGGCUGACAAACAGAUUCAACAAUAAACAACAGCCCAAAACAUGGGGGAAGGGGAGG
RNAcentral lists this long non-coding RNA (1627 nucleotides) under Sus scrofa (pig). RNAcentral's name for it is "lncRNA (ENSSSCG00060011154.1)". The record is from RNAcentral. Lineage: Eukaryota; Metazoa; Chordata; Mammalia; Artiodactyla; Suidae.